AUUGCCCAAGUUGGGCAGAUCUUUUUCGUGGUCACACGAAAGCAUAAACUGAAUCGGUGGUUUGAUUGGGGUAGGUUUCAUUUUCAUGGCUUGGGGUCGGUUUUCACGUGCCUUGUGACUUGGGGUUUAUUUGUUCGUUUAUUUACAUGUUUUUUCAAUGCAAAUUUUCUUAGGUGGUGGACAUAUCGUUUCACCAACUUUCACUGAUAGUUGUUUGUGGAAAUAUGAAACGGAUGCGGCAAAGAG
RNAcentral lists this long non-coding RNA (246 nucleotides) under Durio zibethinus. RNAcentral describes it as "long non-coding RNA (DZIB_LNC001214)". The record is from RNAcentral. Lineage: Eukaryota; Viridiplantae; Streptophyta; Magnoliopsida; Malvales; Malvaceae.